GCCGGGCAUGGUGGCGUGUGCCUGUAGUCCCAGCUACUCAGGAGGCUGAGACAGGAGAAUUGUUUGAACCUGGGAGGCCAAAGUUGCAGUGAGCUGAGAUCGUGCCACUGUACUCCAGCCUGGAUGACAAAGCGAGACCCUGUCUCAA
Papio anubis (olive baboon) is the source of this 148-nucleotide unclassified non-coding RNA. It matches the Rfam family "Metazoan signal recognition particle RNA". From Rfam's summary of the family: The signal recognition particle (SRP) is a universally conserved ribonucleoprotein. It is involved in the co-translational targeting of proteins to membranes. NCBI's taxonomy places the organism in Eukaryota, Metazoa, Chordata, Mammalia, Primates, Cercopithecidae. The record is from Ensembl.